UUUUUGGAGAGUUUGAUCCUGGCUCAGGACGAACGCUGGCGGCGUGCCUAACACAUGCAAGUCGAACGGAAACAACCUCUAAGUUUACUUAGAGAGCGUUUUAGUGGCGGACGGGUGAGUAACGCGUGGGUAACCUACCCAACAAGCCGGGACAACCCUUGGAAACGAGGGCUAAUACCGGAUACGCUUAAGACCUGGCAUCAGGUUUUAAGGAAAGGUGGCCUCUGAAGAUGCUA
Molecule: ribosomal RNA, 236 nt
Rfam family: Bacterial small subunit ribosomal RNA